AAAAAAUAUUAAAAUAAAAAAUUACACAAAUUACAUCACUACACAAACACACACACACUACACAAACACAUACUGCAUUACAUACACACACACUGCAUUACAUACACACACUACACAGACACACUACACACACACUGCAUUACAUACACACUACACAAACACAGUACACAUACUGCAUUACAUACACGCACACACUACACAGGCACACACACUGCAUUACAUACACACUACACAAACAC
Non-coding RNA from Pelobates cultripes (western spadefoot toad), 239 nucleotides. The record is from the annotation of a GenBank genome assembly. NCBI's taxonomy places the organism in Eukaryota, Metazoa, Chordata, Amphibia, Anura, Pelobatidae.